AUUGAACGCUGGCGGCAGGCCUAACACAUGCAAGUCGAGCGGAUGAAGGGAGCUUGCUCCUGGAUUCAGCGGCGGACGGGUGAGUAAUGCCUAGGAAUCUGCCUGGUAGUGGGGGAUAACGUCCGGAAACGGGCGCUAAUACCGCAUACGUCCUGAGGGAGAAAGUGGGGGAUCUUCGGACCUCACGCUCUCAGAUGAGCCUAGGUCGGAUUAGCUAGUUGGUGGGGUAAAGGCCUACCAAGGCGCCGAUCCGUAACUGGUCUGAGAGGAUGAUCAGUCACACUGGAACUGGGACACGGUCCAGACUCCUACGGGAGGCAGCAGUGGGGAAUAUUGGACAAUGGGCGAAAGCCUGAUCCAGCCAUGCCGCGUGUGUGAAGAAGGUCUUCGGGUUGUAAAGCACUUUAAGUUGGGAGGAAGGGCAGUAAGUUAAUACCUUGCUGUUUUGACGUUACCAACAGAAUAAGCACCGGCUAACUUCGUG
RNAcentral lists this ribosomal RNA (484 nucleotides) under uncultured bacterium. Its description in RNAcentral is "partial 16S ribosomal RNA". It matches the Rfam family "Bacterial small subunit ribosomal RNA", at positions 30 to 507 of the family's 1533-position model. The record is from RNAcentral.